Silurus meridionalis is the source of this 3103-nucleotide RNA transcript. It is a transcript of the gene named ephrin A4, with no coding region annotated. The record is from RefSeq and is a predicted model, not a curated record. NCBI's taxonomy places the organism in Eukaryota, Metazoa, Chordata, Actinopteri, Siluriformes, Siluridae. The transcript has 6 exons.
ACCGGACUGAAGCCGCGUGUAAUCAGUGUCACCUCUCUCCGGCUCUGAUUGCUUUUUGUUUUGUUUUGUUUUGUUGUGUUUGUUUAGCUUUCUCUUGUCGGAUUCGGCGACAAAGGAGUAAAGUUGACAAAACAGACUCAAGAUCCAUUUAAAGACUCCAAUCUUUCAAACUUGGAAAAGUGGAUAUAUGGAAGUACACGGAAACGCCUGGGGCUGAUCGAAAUACGUCUGACUUGCAUGAGAAGAGGAAAAAAAAAAAAGAUCUGACAUUCUUCGAGGUGUUGUGUUUUCACUUUCUUUUGCUUGCACAAAAACUUAGCCACUAUUCAACAAGAAAGUUUGUUUUCCCUAAUAAAUGCUGCUAAAAGAGAGCAACCUGAACAUAUAUUCCUGAAGUUCUUGAAGUUCAGGAGGUUCCUGGAGUUCCUGCUCUCCCUCUCAGAGAAGAGAAAAGGUUUCUAAAGGACUUUUCUCAUCAGUUCAUUUGCUCACUCCAUAUGUAUAUAUGAAAGAGAGAUAAGAGAGGUUGUUUUGGAUGCAGAGAUGAGUUCUGGCUGGUACUCAGGACCUUCACACACGUUCCUAUUAUGGAUGUGGCUCCUGCAUGGGCUUUCGGGUGUGUCAGCAAAGAGACACACGGUCUACUGGAACUCCACCAACACCAGGUUAACAAGUGAUGACUACUCAGUCCAGGUCAAUCUGAACGACUACCUGGACAUCCUGUGCCCUCACUAUUCAUCCAGGUCCCCUGAGCAAGGCCCUCCGGAGUAUCUGGCGCUCUAUCUGGUAGCCGAGCACCAGUUUCGGGGCUGCCACGAGACCGAAGGCGCCAUAAAGAGGUGGGAGUGCAACUCUCCAUACGCUCCCUACGGCCCUGUCCGGUUCUCUGAGAAGAUCCAGCGCUUCACACCUUUCUCUCUGGGCUUCGAGUUCCUCCCUGGACACCACUAUUACUACAGCUCCCUGUCUGUGGAUGAUAAACCCCCCCUUCCAUGCAUGAAGCUCAAAGUCACUGUGUGCUGUGAGUCCAGUCUCUCCAUGGUCCUCCAGAACGCUUAAUCUUCUCCCAUCGCUUUCUUGCUUUCCUGCCAUCUUUUUCGGGAUGCGACCUUUAAAGGAAGCGGGGAUGUAUUUUGGGGUUGCACAGCCGUUCGUAAUUUUUCAUGACAUUUCUGUUAAAUGAAAAUAAAGAAAAAGGAACUACAGCUCCUCUUAGUUUUGCCCGACGUGAAGGAACCAGUCCCCUGUCAAUCCUCGCUCUCGCAGUCUUUUCCCUCUUUUGUUUUUUAUGAUAAUUGGACGAAUCGACCCGGCUAAUAGCAAAGACUUGCCAACAGGUCAUAUGAGGAUCCUUCUCUGUCUGUUGUUAAGCGCACGUUCAAACACACACACAUUCACACACUCACUCGGCUGUUUCAGCUCUUUCAGCUCACUUGCCUUACUGUCAUGUAUUUGGAGUGGCACUAAUCUCUCGCCCUCCAUUUCCUCUCUGUCUCUCUGUCCACUCUGCACCGCUUCAUUCUACCAGCGACUGGCACUAAUCUACCUUCAAAGAACUCUUCCUGCUGCUCUUCUUUUUUGCGUAAUCCUUUCUUCAUUUAACACACACACACACAUACACAGCCCCCUUUCCCCUCCAUCUACGGUCUUACUGUACACUACUGAACUGAGGCAAAGGGGAGGAGAUGUAGAGAGCGGAGUGGACGUCCCUGUAGCACCUGUGCUGCUAAGAAAAACUAAAAGUGCAAGGACACAGCGCAAGCAAUAAAGCUUUCGGCUCAUUCAUCAGCGCUCAGGAUCAAGGGACGAGACUUUAUUUUGCCAACGGACAAACUGGAGCCAAAGCAAGACAUCGUUAUAUUCGAGAUAAAACAUUUAACAAACCUGUAUCUGAGUAGCAAAGACAAAGCGUGUCCUUUUUUUUUUUUCAUUAUUUAGAACGCAGUUAAGAAGAAGAGAAGCAAACGAACUAAAUAUGUAUAGGAGCAACAGGAAGAGGAUUUUACUGCUUCCUGGUCAGGGUCACGAGGGGCACGCUGUUCUUAUUUCAGCAACGUUGAACGCAAUUGGGCAGUUGUUUUCACACCGCCAGUAACACCUGAGACGGUUGGUCGGCUCUUCGCAAUACACUUCAGAUAUAAGAUGACUGGACAACUUCCUGAGCUCGUAAUUAUGUUCUCUUAUUUUCAGUGGGUUUAGAUUUUUUUUUAUGUUCUGUCUACAAGAGAUUUGUAUGUAUGUACCGGCACCCAAUUCACUUAUUAUUAAGAAUCAAGUUCAGUGUGUUUUUUAGAAUACAAAACUACUCAUGGUUUCAAAGAAGAAUCUUUUUUUUGUUGUUGUUUUUUAUUCAUUACAAAGUGAAUCAGGAACAUGCUGUAAGAAGUUUUACAGAAAUAAUACUAAGUUUACACCUGCAGUGAAUUUAUUUGAAAUGUUUUUUUUUUGUUAUUUUUUUUUUUAUUAUUGAAAAUGAAAAACAACCCUAUUUAAAUUUCAUUUGAUAAAAAUUAGUUUUAAAGUUAAUUUUUUUUUUAUAUUGUGCAAAAAGAAAACAAAUUGACUUUGGUUAUUUAAAAAGAAAUUACACUUUAUAUGAAAUGCUGAUCAGUUUUGUAAAAAAAAAAAAAAAAGUACUAAAUUAAGGGUGCAAGUGUACUACUUUGGGGAAAAAGAAAAAAAAAAUUCAUAUAUAUCCAAAUCACACGUGUCAAUUUACACAGAAAUAUGACGUGCUGGAUUGAUCACGAUUUUCUUUAUCGUGAUAAUAGUUUGUGUUUUUCACAUUUUAGUGAAGCGGAAAGGUGUCUUCUGUGAAGAAUGGUGGGUUUUUGUAAUGUGAAAAAAAAAAAAUCCUGGUCACGUUCAUGUUCGAGUAAAAAACGGCUGAGACAGAUUCGGCUCGAUGUGAUGUGAGAGUCAAAUGAUCAACAUGAUUUACACAAUAGUUUAUUUGCUUAAGCAGUGCAACAUAAGAAUGACAUUUACAUAUGUUAAUGUAUUUGGUAUCAAGGGUGGAAUUGUAUUGCUAUUACUGAGAUAAUAAUACAAAUGCGAAAAACUUCUCCUUUUUUUUUAAAAUAAAAUUUCUUUAUAAAAUGUA